Molecule: ribosomal RNA, 515 nt
Filed under: uncultured bacterium
Lineage: Bacteria
Description: partial 16S ribosomal RNA
Rfam family: Bacterial small subunit ribosomal RNA
Source: RNAcentral
GAUGAACGCUGGCGGCGUGCCUAAUACAUGCAAGUCGAGCGAAUGGAUUAAGAGCUUGCUCUUAUGAAGUUAGCGGCGGACGGGUGAGUAACACGUGGGUAACCUGCCCAUAAGACUGGGAUAACUCCGGGAAACCGGGGCUAAUACCGGAUAAUAUUUUGAACUGCAUGGUUCAAAAUUGAAAGGCGGCUUCGGCUGUCACUUAUGGAUGGACCCGCGUCGCAUUAGCUAGUUGGUGAGGUAACGGCUCACCAAGGCAACGAUGCGUAGCCGACCUGAUAGGGUGAUCGGCCACCGUGGGACUGAGACACGGCCCAGACUGCUACGGGAGGCAGCAGUAGGGAAUCUUCCGCAAUGGACGAAAGUCUGACGGAGCAACGCCGCGUGAGUGAUGAAGGCUUUCGGGUCGUAAAACUCUGUUGUUAGGGAAGAACAAGUGCUAGUUGAAUAAGCUGGCACCUUGACGGUACCUAACCAGAAAGCCACGGCUAACUACGUGCCAGCCGCCGCCGUAA